Molecule: ribosomal RNA, 252 nt
Filed under: uncultured bacterium
Lineage: Bacteria
Description: partial 16S ribosomal RNA
Rfam family: Bacterial small subunit ribosomal RNA
Source: RNAcentral
UACGUAGGUCCCGAGCGUUGUCCGGAUUUAUUGGGCGUAAAGCGAGCGCAGGUGGUUUAUUAAGUCUGGUGUAAAAGGCAGUGGCUCAACCAUUGUAUGCAUUGGAAACUGGUAGACUUGAGUGCAGGAGAGGAGAGUGGAAUUCCAUGUGUAGCGGUGAAAUGCGUAGAUAUAUGGAGGAGCACCGGUGGCGAAAGCAGCUCUCUGGCCUGUAGCUGACACUGAGGCUCGAAAGCGUGGGGAGCAAACAGG